RNAcentral lists this ribosomal RNA (301 nucleotides) under uncultured bacterium. Its description in RNAcentral is "partial 16S ribosomal RNA". It matches the Rfam family "Bacterial small subunit ribosomal RNA", at positions 509 to 809 of the family's 1533-position model. The record is from RNAcentral.
CAGUAGCCGCGGUAAUACGAAGAGGGCUAGCGUUGCUCGGAAUGACUGGGCGUAAAGGGCGCGUAGGCGGAUUGUUUAGUUAGGCGUGAAAUUCCUGGGCUUAACCUGGGGACUGCGCUUAAUACAGGCAGUCUAGAGUGAGGAAGAGGGUUGUGGAAUUCCCAGUGUAGAGGUGAAAUUCGUAGAUAUGCGGAGGAACACCGAUGGCGAAGGCAAUCCCCUGGGCCUGCACUGACGCUCAUGCACGAAAGCGUGGGGAGCAAACAGGAUUAGAGACCCGCGUAGUCCCUGUCUCUUAUCA